CUUUAGGCAUUUGAUUUCAUAAAAUAAAAUAUUAAGUUUAGUUCUACUCACCUCUGGCAGACGCUGGACUGACUUUGCAACAGCUAACACUGAUGGCCUCCUCGGUCCCUCGGGUCCGGUCCUACACAGGUGGACUCGAAUGAGGUGCCAAACACAUUCUAACCACUCAUAAACAACUACCCAAAAACCCUUCUAAAACAUCACUUAAACAUGCAUAGA
Molecule: long non-coding RNA, 219 nt
Filed under: Manihot esculenta (cassava)
Lineage: Eukaryota; Viridiplantae; Streptophyta; Magnoliopsida; Malpighiales; Euphorbiaceae
Description: long non-coding RNA (MESC_LNC008341)
Source: RNAcentral